RNAcentral lists this ribosomal RNA (288 nucleotides) under uncultured bacterium. Its description in RNAcentral is "partial 16S ribosomal RNA". It matches the Rfam family "Bacterial small subunit ribosomal RNA", at positions 773 to 1060 of the family's 1533-position model. The record is from RNAcentral.
GUGGAUUAGAUAUCCUGGUAGUCCACGCGGUAAACGAUGAGUGCUAGGUGUAGGAGGUAUCGACCCCUUCUGUGCCGCAGUAAACACAAUAAGCACUCCGCCUGGGGAGUACGGCCGCAAGGUUGAAACUCAAAGGAAUUGACGGGGGCCCGCACAAGCAGCGGAGCAUGUGGUUUAAUUCGAAGCAACGCGAAGAACCUUACCAGGUCUUGACAUCCAGUAAAACUUGUAGAGAUACAUCGUGACUUCGGUCAUACUGAGACAGGUGGUGCACGGCCGUCGCCAACU